GGGUAUAGUUCUUCGGAUUAGAGACCGGCGCACGGGUGCGUAACGCGUAUGCAAUCUGCCUUUUACAGAGGGAUAGCCCAGAGAAAUUUGGAUUAAUACCUCAUAGUAUUAUAGAGUGGCAUCACUUUAUAAUUAAAGUCACAACGGUGAAAGAUGAGCAUGCGUCCCAUUAGCUAGUUGGUAAGGUAACGGCUUACCAAGGCAACGAUGGGUAGGGGUCCUGAGAGGGAGAUCCCCCACACUGGUACUGAGACACGGACCAGACUCCUACGGGAGGCAGCAGUGAGGAAUAUUGGACAAUGGGCGCAAGCCUGAUCCAGCCAUGCCGCGUGCAGGAUGACGGUCCUAUGGAUUGUAAACUGCUUUUGUACGAGAAGAAACAUCCCGACGUGUCGGGACUUGACGGUAUCGUAAGAAUAAGGAUCGGCUAACUCCGUGCCAGCAGCCGCGGUAAUACGGAGGAUCCAAGCGUUAUCCGGAAUCAUUGGGUUUAAAGGGUCCGUAGGCGGUUUAAUAAGUCAGUGGUGAAAGCCCAUCGCUCAACGGUGGAACGGCCAUUGAUACUGUUAAACUUGAAUUAUUAGGAAGUAACUAGAAUAUGUAGUGUAGCGGUGAAAUGCUUAGAUAUUACAUGGAAUACCAAUUGCGAAGGCAGGUUACUACUAAUGGAUUGACGCUGAUGGACGAAAGCGUGGGGAGCGAACAGGAUUAGAUACCCUGGUAGUCCACGCCGUA
Molecule: ribosomal RNA, 735 nt
Filed under: Flavobacterium sp.
Lineage: Bacteria; Pseudomonadati; Bacteroidota; Flavobacteriia; Flavobacteriales; Flavobacteriaceae
Description: bacterial SSU rRNA
Rfam family: Bacterial small subunit ribosomal RNA
Source: RNAcentral